CACUCCUACGGGAGGCAGCAGUGGGGAAUUUUGGACAAUGGGCGAAAGCCUGAUCCAGCAAUGCCGCGUGUGUGAAGAAGGCCUUCGGGUUGUAAAGCACUUUUGUCCGGAAAGAAAUCCUUGGCUCUAAUACAGUCGGGGGAUGACGGUACCGGAAGAAUAAGCACCGGCUAACUACGUGCCAGCAGCCGCGGUAAUACGUAGGGUGCGAGCGUUAAUCGGAAUUACUGGGCGUAAAGCGUGCGCAGGCGGUUUGCUAAGACCGAUGUGAAAUCCCCGGGCUCAACCUGGGAACUGCAUUGGUGACUGGCAGGCUAGAGUAUGGCAGAGGGGGGUAGAAUUCCACGUGUAGCAGUGAAAUGCGUAGAGAUGUGGAGGAAUACCGAUGGCGAAGGCAGCCCCCUGGGCCAAUACUGACGCUCAUGCACGAAAGCGUGGGGAGCAAACAGGAUUAGAAACCCUUGUAGUCCCAU
This 473-nucleotide ribosomal RNA is filed under the name uncultured organism. Its description in RNAcentral is "partial 16S ribosomal RNA". It matches the Rfam family "Bacterial small subunit ribosomal RNA", at positions 334 to 798 of the family's 1533-position model. The record is from RNAcentral.